This 1986-nucleotide ribosomal RNA is filed under the name Triticum aestivum (bread wheat). Its description in RNAcentral is "partial small subunit ribosomal RNA". The record is from RNAcentral. Lineage: Eukaryota; Viridiplantae; Streptophyta; Magnoliopsida; Poales; Poaceae.
AUGGGUGUGUGUGGCGUCCUGUCGGACAUUGCCACCGUCGCGCAGCUGUCCGGGCUGCACGCUGUUAUGCUCAUCGCCCUGGCCGCGCACCUCCUGAGGAUUCCGAAGUGCGAGACGGAAUGCGCCAAGCUCGAGGGCUGCGCGCGCAAGCUCCACGUGCUGCUGGACAUGGCAACACAGCAUUUGGCGGUGGCUGAACUGGUCGCCGGGGCGCUGGCCGAAGCGGCCGACGUGGUGGACUCGUACCGCGGGAGCAGGCUCUGGCGACGCGUCCGGACUGGCAGGAGCAUGGAGGCGCGGCUCCGGGACAUGCGCAGUCGCCUCGACUGCUUGUGCACACUCGUGCUCUGCGUGCACGCCAAUCUCCUCACGGCGUCGGCGUCGGAUACUUGUGGAACAAUCAUCCAUUACACGGCGCUCAAGCUGCUGAUACUUCGGAUACUUCUGGCACCACGUGAGAUUUUCGAUCCAUCCAUGCAUAUCGUGGUCGAUGAGAAGUACCCUGAUUGUCUAUGUUUACUUGCUGAUGACUGGUGCAGGAACCAUCAUCCAUUACACGGCGCAGAGGUUUCUGAUAGUACUUCCAACAGUGGAAGCGGGACCGCCGUGCUGCUCUGGGCCGUCGCGGACGAGGCCGCCAUGCUGCAGCGGGACGCAGCGCGCGAGGCCGCCAUGUUGUUCCUGGCCGCCGCAGACGAGGCCGCUGUGCUGCACCAGGAUGCCGCGAACGAGGCUGUCGUGUUUCUCCGGGCCGCCGUGGACGAGGCUGUCGUGCUGCACCAGGCCGCUGCGCAGGCAAGCCCUAAACAGCAACAGUCAACAAUCUUCUCAGCAAAUUCCAACGCCAAUCUUGUGGUAGCCAAGCAGCACCCACUCAAUGCAACAUGGGGAAUUCCAUUCCUGGAUGGGAAGCAUUUCUUGAAGAUGUGUAAUCAAGUACUACUUCAAUGGGAUGAGCCUCAUGUGGAGGUGAAGAAACGUUGGAACUUUCAUGAUCAGCUCAUGCCGCUGUAUAGCACACACUCAGGGUAUUAUAGAGAAGAUUUCCCCAGUACGAGCCUCAUGGAUAAAACCCAUAAGUUACUGGCCAGUAUUUCAUCAGACGAUUCUGUUUGGAAGAUAAUUACCAGUGUUACGAGUCGAGCCGCACAAACUCCUCAGAGGAGAGGUGUUCUCAUUCGGCCCAUUGAGCCAUAUGAUUCAGAUGAUGGGCCACCAAUUAAGAAGCAAAGGACCCAAUAUCAAUUGCGAUUUGUCAAUACGGUGUCCAAUGACUACUUCACACGGGAGAAAAUCAAAUCAGAGGAUGGAAAUCUCUUAAAGGUAGCUUUGUAUGAUGAGAACAAUCUGGUAGUCACAUCAGGUCCACUAUCUUCAGCUUCUGUGGAGAUCGUACUACUUCAUGGUGAUUUCAAUGCUGAAGGUCAAGAUUAUUGGACAUCAGAGGAAUUCAGUGCCUGCCUAGUGCAUCCACAAUCUGUAAAAGAACCACCAGCCUUGGGAGGUGAUUGUGGCUUGGCACUGACGGAUGGAGAGGCAAACCUUGGUAGUAUCAAGUUCCAGAUUUCCUCCUCCCAUGCCAGAACUGGAAAGUUCAUAAUGGGUGUUGAGAUUAAAAAUUUAAGAGAAGAAAGUGUUCAAGAAGGAAUCACUAGCCCAUUUCUUGUGAAAGUUGGCCUAGGGGAAGCAAUUGGAACUGGAGAGGAGAUGGCGGAGACGCCAUUUGGGUCGUCGUUGCAGAUCACCACCACCUCCGCCGCGACAAAGAGGAAGCGGCGGCUGGCCGUGACACCAGACCUGAACGCGGACGUGGUGUUGCUGUCGCCGCAGACGCUGCUGGACUGGUACCUGUGCGAGAUCUGCAACCAGGGGUUCCAGCGCGAACAGAACCUGCAGAUGCACCGGCAGCGGCACAAGGUGCCGUUGAAGCUGCUGAAGCGGGAGGCCGGCGAGCCGGCGCGGAAGCGUGUGUUCGUGUGCCCGUAG